CGCCGCCUCAUGCUGUAACAAACGUGCCGUACCGCAGCCGGGACCUCACGCCUUCCCUGGGUGCCGCCGCCUCGUGCUGUAACAAACGUGCCGUACCGCAGCCGGGAUCUCACGCCUUCCCUGGGUGCCUCCGCCUCGUGCUUGUCCUGCCUUUGUGGGGCCACAGUGCCCAGAGUGCAAAUCGCACAGCUGUGGCGGUGCUGCCGCCAGGCAUUCGUAGUCUCCUGUUGCUUCUGUGGCCUGAAUUGCUUCCAGUCAGCAAGAAUUGUUCCCAAACGUCAUUCCCCUCUGGAGCUCGGAGGAUAUUACUUGAGAAGCGCUUAUGGAGCACUUUUGCUGCUCAAGAAAUUCCAGGAAAAACAAGCUGCCCAGCUAUCAGUGCACCAGAAAAGCUGACCAGUCUGUCGGCAUCCUGUUACAGGGACCCUUCAUUGAGCAGUCCUGCUGGAUUGGAGGGAAGUCUGACUGACAUUCACGGAAAUAGGCCAAGAACGUAAUGGAGACCCCUCAGCAGGUCUUUCCACUUUAUGACCUCUCAGUAGGACUUCUUAUUUGAAUAUGUUACCUGCUGCUGGCAACUGCUAGCAUCCAUGAAGGAGUCACACUUUGGAAUUUUAUGGAACAGUUUAUGGAACUAUGCUUUUUAUGAAAUUGUGACAGGUUAAGGUUCAGGAAUUGUUGGUGAUGGUAUCUGUCAGUGAUAGUAUUUGACUGCAAAAACUCACUCAAAGCAAUAUACGGAGAAGUUGUAGUCCCCAAUAAAAAUAUUCAGCAGGCAGAGUGCAUUUCUAACCCAACAGGGGUUCCUAUGGGGCAGAAGACAGGUUCAGCCCAUUGACUGAUCCCAGCAGUUAUGAUGGAGCCUUCACUAACUUUUUCUCCAUUCUUGGCUUACUUUUAUAGUAUUUCUUUAUAUUUAGGUGAAGCUUGAGUGACUCUACUCAUGCAUAUAUUUGCUACUGACUGGUGUAAAAUCCUCUCACUUCACUUUCAAAGAUACAAUCAAAAAAAUGUAUAGGGCUCAUUUUCAUUGAGAGGUUUUCAUAAUUUGGAGGCAGUUAACUUUGGGAUGGAGGUGUGCAUUAAUAUUACAAUUAGGCUAUAAUAAACCACGUUCAUCUGAGGAAAGCGAUUUUGCCACAUUGCUAGCUUGGCAGCAAGACAUCUCUCUCACAGCUGCUAUGCAGUUAAUCAGCUUCGAAGUACCAUCAAGUUGCUGCCAAGGAUUUUGGCAGAGCCUGGUCGAGGUAUCUCCAUUCCACUGCACCCUUCCCUUAGCAGGUGCUUAUGGUUGUAUGGGGAAUCAUUGUGCAGCAUGCCAACCCAGUUCCAUCCUGGGAACAGCAUCUGUAUUUUACCCUAAAAUUUCUGUCCCGUUGUAACUCCUGUUAGGAUACAAAUGUAACUUAGUUUUCUCUGAUUUUACCCUCAGUCAUCUUUCCAUACAAACAUUGCUCCCCUCUCCAGAGGAUUAUUGUGAGCAGAUGUGAGCCCUGCUGUCCCUUUGGACUGAGAAAGACAGGUUUUUUCCCAAGUUCCUUUUGAACCUGUUGUGCACCUGUUACAAGUCUUCAGUCUCCUGCAGUUUUGUGGGUCAGUCAUGUGUAGAACAGCACAACUGGCUGGCAUGCUUUGCUUGUGAGGGGAGACAAGAGAAGAAUCCCUCUGUUCACACCAGACUUGCAGCUGCCAAACCUCACCAAAGCACCUGAGGAGCCCCCAGGGAUUGAUGGCACAGAGGGAGCUGAUGGAGGACAGCACAGCAGGCAGCCUGUCCUCCCAUCAGGUCUGGCUUAUGGUGCCACCCUGAGGGUUUCCCCUGUCUUCGGGCAGUCCUAGCUACUGCAGCUCACUUGACAGAGACUCACUGUCUAUACUGUGCUUGGCUACACUGGAGAGGAUGAAGCUGAGGACAGCAAUGGUUGCCUUCACAUCCCCUGACUGCAGACGGGAGGGAGGGCGAGCUCUGUCACCUUGGGAAGGCAUCUGCAGAUUCAUUGCUGCCCAUCUCUGGAGCAUGGCUCUAUCGGGGGAUCGUGGUAAGGACAGCAGUGCUCACCUAACUUUGCACCUGAGGACAGCUUCAGGAUCUUGUCAUACUGUGGGAGAGCAGAGCUUCACAGUAAACACCAGCUAACACGCUUACUACCAGUGUUAACACUAACAAUUCUUACCCAAAUAUUAAUACUAAUAACACUUACUAUGCAUAUUAUUAAUGCUAGUAGAGGCUGGUAGCGUUCUUAAUGCUGAGGCUUGCAUGAAGAACACAAAAUUAAUUAAUGUUGCUGAUUAUGCUAUUGUGGUGUUGAAAUACUUGGCCUCCACUGCAGUAGCCCCACACUUACCUCGAUGGCCUCCCCCAGCAGGUCCCGAAGCACUGGGAUGCAGAUCAGCUUAAGCAUCACUGAUGUGAUAAACAGAGUUCACUCUUUAAAAUUUUUAAAAGUUUAAUAAAGGAUAAAAGGACAAAAUAAUCUAGCACUGGGGUGCUUUUGGCACCCGGCCACAGAGCACAGAGGUAGCUUAAAAUCAUGUUCAAUAUAUAUGGUUACAUUGCUGGGGUUACACGCAUAUUCAUUAGCUUAUACAUUAUUCAAACAUUCCUUUGAGUUUUUGGUGUUCCAGGAACUCUCUUGUUUGGUUUUAAUCUCUGACUUGUCUGCAGAACAUUCUGUAAAUUAGGUCUAAAUAUUUUAUUUCUUCCUGUAGUUUUAUCCUGUUGCUUCACACUCCCUGAUAGCGCCGACAGAGCUGAUAAAUCUUCCUGGAUGCUUA
Agelaius phoeniceus (red-winged blackbird) is the source of this 2775-nucleotide long non-coding RNA. RefSeq lists it as uncharacterized. Lineage: Eukaryota; Metazoa; Chordata; Aves; Passeriformes; Icteridae. The record is from RefSeq and is a predicted model, not a curated record.